This 184-nucleotide small RNA is filed under the name Cavia porcellus (domestic guinea pig). Its description in RNAcentral is "Pvt1 onco conserved region 1 (ENSCPOG00000030012.1)". The record is from RNAcentral. Lineage: Eukaryota; Metazoa; Chordata; Mammalia; Rodentia; Caviidae.
AGAACGCGUGCGGCCGUCGAGCACAUGGGCCCGCGGACCGGGGCGGGCGGGCGGCGGGCAGAGUGCUGCGGCGAGGAGCUGCGGGCCGUGGUGCGCCGACCCGCGAGCCCCGAGAGUGUGUCUCGGCGCAGAGAGGAUGUCGGCGGCCCCGGCGACCUGCGAGACGGGCCGGAUCCACCCUCCG